This 490-nucleotide ribosomal RNA is filed under the name uncultured bacterium. RNAcentral describes it as "partial 16S ribosomal RNA". It matches the Rfam family "Bacterial small subunit ribosomal RNA", at positions 29 to 507 of the family's 1533-position model. The record is from RNAcentral.
AGUGAACGCUGGCGGCAGGCCUAACACAUGCAAGUCGAACGGCAGCACAAGAGCGCUUGCUCUCUGGGUGGCGAGUGGCGGACGGGUGAGGAAUGCAUCGGAAUCUGCCCAUUUGUGGGGGAUAAUCUCGGGAAACCGGGACUAAUACCGCAUACGACCUACGGGUGAAAGCAGGGGAUCUUCGGACCUUGCGCAGAUGGAUGAGCCGAUGCCGGAUUAGCUAGUUGGAGGGGUAAGGGCCCACCAAGGCGACGAUCCGUAGCUGGUCUGAGAGGAUGAUCAGCCACACUGGGACUGAGACACGGCCCAGACUCCGACGGUGGGCAGCGGUGGGGAAUAUUGGACAAUGGGCGCAAGCCUGAUCCAGCCAUGCCGCGUGUGUGAAGAAGGCCUUCGGGUUGUAAAGCGCUUUUGUUGGGAAAGAAAAGCAGCCGGUUAAUACCCGGUUGUCAUGACGGUACCCAAAGAAUAAGCACCGGCUAACUUCGUG